RNAcentral lists this ribosomal RNA (472 nucleotides) under uncultured bacterium. RNAcentral describes it as "partial 16S ribosomal RNA". It matches the Rfam family "Bacterial small subunit ribosomal RNA", at positions 28 to 507 of the family's 1533-position model. The record is from RNAcentral.
GACGAACGCUGGCGGCGUGCUUAACACAUGCAAGUCGAACGCUGAAGCUUGGUGCUUGCACUGGGUGGAUGAGUGGCGAACGGGUGAGUAAUACGUAAGUAACCUGCCCUUGACUCUGGGAUAAGCCUGGGAAACUGGGUCUAAUACUGGAUAUGACAUGCCACUGCAUGGUGGUGUGUGGAAAGGGUUUUACUGGUUUUGGAUGGGCUCACGGCCUAUCAGCUUGUUGGUGGGGUAAUGGCCUACCAAGGCGACGACGGGUAGCCGGCCUGAGAGGGUGACCGGCCACACUGGGACUGAGACACGGCCCAGACUCCUACGGGAGGCAGCAGUGGGGAAUAUUGCACAAUGGGCGGAAGCCUGAUGCAGCGACGCCGCGUGAGGGAUGACGGCCUUCGGGUUGUAAACCUCUUUCAGCACGGAAGAAGCGAGAGUGACGGUACGUGCAGAAGAAGCGCCGGCUAACUACGUG